AACGCACGAGACCUGCGGACCUGCGGAAGGAUCAUUAAUGAGAAGCUGCCCCUCGUGGGUAGACCUCCCACCCUCUGUGAACUUACCUUUGUUGCUUUGGCAGGCCCGCCCUCUGGACCGCCGGCUUCGGCUGGCCCGUGCCUGCCAGAGGAUUCCAAACCCUGUCUGUCAGUGUUGUCUGAGUCUAUAUGAAAUCGUUAAAACUUUCAACAAUGGAUCUCUAGAUCGGAAGAGCACACG
Molecule: unclassified non-coding RNA, 240 nt
Filed under: soil metagenome
Description: partial contains 5.8S ribosomal RNA, internal transcribed spacer 2, and large subunit ribosomal RNA
Source: RNAcentral